AUUGAACGCUAGCGGGAUGCUUUACACAUGCAAGUCGAACGGAGUGGCGGACGUGUGAAUAAUAUAGCGGAACGUGCCCAGUAGCGGGGGAUAACUACUCGAAGGAGUGGAUAAUACCGCAUCCUAUUAGAUCGGCCGAUAUCGGAUUAGCUAGUUGGUGGUGUAAAGGCUCACCAAGGAAACGAUCCGUAGCGGGUUUGAGAGGACGACCAGCAAAACUGGGAUUGAGAAACGGCCAAGACUCCUACGGGAGGCAGCAGUGGGGAAUUUGGGACAAUGGGGGAAACCCUGACCCAGCCAGCCCGCGUGUAGGAGGAAGGCCUUCGGGUGGUAAAGUACUUUUGGCAGAGAAGCGGUACCUGCAGAAUAAGCACCGGCUAACUACGUGCCAGCAGCCGCGGUAAUAC
RNAcentral lists this ribosomal RNA (407 nucleotides) under uncultured bacterium. Its description in RNAcentral is "partial 16S ribosomal RNA". It matches the Rfam family "Bacterial small subunit ribosomal RNA", at positions 30 to 526 of the family's 1533-position model. The record is from RNAcentral.